UGACUUGUUUAUGGAAGAUUUAUUCAAAAUAGCCAAAAAUAGAAACAACCCAAAAGCCCAUCAGAAGAAUGAACAAAAAUGGCAUAUUCAUACAGUGGAAUACCAUACAGAAAUAAAGGAGCAAGCUAUUUGAUAAAAGCAACAACAUGAGUGAAAGUCAAAGACAUUUUGGUGAGCAAAAGAAGCCAAACACAAAAGAAUACCUACAAUUUGAGAUUUCACUCACAUGUGGAAUUGAAGAAGAAAAAAAAUAAACAUAGGGGAAGGGAAGGAAAAAUGAAAUAAGAUAAAAACAGGGAGGUAAACCACAAGAGACUCUGAAUCAUAGGAAACAAACUGGGGUUCCUGGAGGGGAAGUGGAGGGGAGGAUGGGGUGACUGAGUGAUGGGCAUUAAGGAGAGCACUUGAUGGAAUGAGCACUGGGUGUUAUAUGCAACUGAUGAAUCACUAAAUUCUACCCCAAAAUUAAUAAUACAUGUUAACUAAAUUAAAUUUAAAUUUAAAAAAUCUACUGUAUGAGUCCAUUUAUACAAAAUUUAAAAACUGGAAAGCUACUGGUUGAGCAGACUGUGGUGACUGGGAAGGGAUAUGAAGGAACUUUCUGGGAUGACGAAAAUAUUUUAUAACAUUGUAGGAUUGUAUACAACUGUAAAAAUAUAAGCACAUAUUAUUGAGCUAUCCCCUGGAAAUGUUUACAUUUUGCUACACAUAAAUUAUGCUUCAAUUUUAAAAAGGGAAAAAAAGAAUCCCACAUGGAACCCCAAAUAUACGCAACCCAGAUGGGUUCUGGGAACUCCCCAGUCAAAAAGAUCCAGUUUGGAGAGGACGAAACUCUAUGCCUCCCCAGGAGUUUGGCUGAGCCCUAAGGGUUCAUCCUCUUGAUUCCCUGCUGUCCACUCAAUUUUGCUACACAGCAAUCCAGGGAUGAAAUUCUGACAAUGAGCUCCCUCACACACACACACGCACACACACACACCCCACAAACACACACACAUCCACUUCUGCCAAGCAUUUUGCAAGUUUAGUCAACUUUUUGCAGAUUUGAGGUUCAAAGUCAUACAGAGUGGUCUCAUCAUAACUGUCUCCCCUUCUUUCUAAAUGCAGAAUAAAAACUGCUUUUCUCAAGCCAAGAUGCCAGCCAAAACCCAGACCACAGAGUCACAGCUUUCUCCCCAAAAGGCCUGGACAAGGAAAAUCUUUCAUGAGAAUAGAGCACUCCUUCUGAAAGGAAUUGUGGGAGAUACACAACUCCCUCUUCUCUAUGCUUAGCCACACUACUCUGGUUGAAGCAAAUAGCAGAGGCAAAGCCUUUAUGGGUAGCUAACUGCUCUUUGCCCCUCCCCAUUUCCUCUCACCCUGGCCUCUAGGCCCCGGGGGAGCUCUGAGAAACCUUGAGAGUCCCUUGAGGGCAAUUUGAAAACCACUGCAGUAGCUCUGGGGAGGAAAGAUUGACAAAACUGUGAGUUUGAGAAAGUAGCCAUUUGCCCUGCAUUUGGAGUUGGAGUAGAGCAGUGAGAGAUUCUAGUUACAUGAGUGUUGAUGGUACUGGAUGCUUUGGGGUCUGCUAAAAGAAUAAAAUUUUUCACCUGUUUUCCAUGACCUAUCUUCAAUCAACCUUACCUCUUACUUUCCCCCUCACCAUGAAGAUAAUGAGGAGUAGUAACUUUGCCCUCCUUUUGGGCACGCAAUUCAAAUGGGGUCUUUACAACCAUUUUUAAGGAAACAUGCUGAUGCAGUGGUAGCUGAGACUCUAAUGGAAAAUAUUAGAGGAAGCAGUAUAAAAGCAAGACCAAAAGGGACACCUGCGUGGCUCAGUGGUUGAGCAUCUGCCUUCAGCUCAGGGCGCGAUCCCAGGGUCUGGGGAUCCAGUCCUGCUUCUCCCUCUGCCUAUGCCUCUCUCUCUGUGUGUCUCAUAAAUAAAUAAAUAAAAUCUUAAAAAAAAAAAAAAAGCAAGACCAAGAGAUACAUAAACAAGGUGUUUAAAAGGUAGUGCUUCUUUACCUCAGCUUUUUUUGGAUGUACUUACAUACAACAAAGUCUACCCAUUUUAAGUGUACAAUUUCAUGAAUUUUGGUAAUUGUAUAUCAUUGCAUAAUCACGACCACAAUCUAGAUACAGAAUAGUUCCGUCUCCUGAAACAUUUCCUGUGCCCCUUUGCAGUAGUUCCUUUCUCCUACCCCAGCCAGAGCAACCUCUGAUUUGUUUUUGUCGCUAUAAUUUUGCCUUUUCUAGGGUUUCAUAUAAAUGGAAUGAUAUAGUACAUAGUCUUUUGUGUUUGACUUCUUCUACUUGACUUCUUUUCACUUUGAGCUAUUUUUAACCUAUAUUACCUAUAUUAUUAAAUAUAUUACUAUUUUGUCCUUUUUUAUUGUUGAGUAGUACUCUAUAGUAUGGAUUGUUUAAUCUAUUAAACAAUUGUUUAAUCUAUUUACCAGUUGAUUGACAUCUGGAUCACUUUCAGUUUGGGGCUGUUAUGAAUAAUGCAGCUAUGAACAUUUGUACACAAGUCUUUUUGUGGACACAUGUUUUCACUUCUCUUGGGUAAAUACCUAGGAGUGGAAAUGAUGGGGUGUAUAUAUAGUAAGUGAGUGAAUAUUUACCCAGUCAUGGGUGGAAACAUAGCUAGGGAAGUCCAGAGCCCAGAGCCUGUGUCAAAAGCUGUAGAUAAGCUACAAUUCUCAGUAUUUUCAUGAUUCAAGAGUCCUAAGCCAACAACAAAAUAAGACCUACUUUGGAGCCUGUGUAACCUGUGUAACCCAGUAGAGUACCACCCCAUAGGAAAGCCCACAACCCAGCUUCCCACAAGGGAAACCUCCCAUAAAGAUCAUUCCUAAACCUCCCAUAAAGAUCAUUCCUAAACCUCCCAUAAAGAUCAUUCCUGUGGAAGAUGAGCUCAUCAUAUAAAACAUACAAGAAUGUCCAGUUCCAUUAAGAUAGCCAGAAAAUUGAUACCAAAAACAAUAUCCAAUAGAGCAAUCUUAAAGGUAUUUUAAAAUGUGCAUUUAAUUAAUUAGUUAACAUUAGUUAACUAGUUAAUUAGUUAACAUUCAUUGUUCUUUUUUUUAUAUUCAUCGUUCUGCUUUUCUUUUCUGCACAUCCUUGUAUGUGACUCUUCCAUACUACCUUGAGAAAAGCUAGAAUAUUACAGUAGAAAUUCAAAGACAAAAGUAGUAUUUGCUUUAGGUCAGUUUUUGCUUCCAAAAUAAAUUUUUGAGAAUCAACAGGGAAUAUCCAAGAGUAACAGUCACAGAC
Molecule: long non-coding RNA, 3252 nt
Filed under: Canis lupus familiaris (dog)
Lineage: Eukaryota; Metazoa; Chordata; Mammalia; Carnivora; Canidae
Description: lncRNA (ENSCAFG00845023031.1)
Source: RNAcentral